RNAcentral lists this small RNA (221 nucleotides) under Streptomyces pristinaespiralis. RNAcentral's name for it is "c-di-AMP sequence". The stretch from base 84 to 221 matches the Rfam family "c-di-AMP riboswitch aptamer (ydaO/yuaA leader)". From Rfam's summary of the family: This family represents a conserved RNA structure found upstream of the ydaO and yuaA genes in Bacillus subtilis and related genes in other bacteria. The ydaO/yuaA element is thought to act as a genetic "off" switch for the ydaO and yuaA genes in its native state. It is believed that the element may be triggered during osmotic shock leading to activation of ydaO, a predicted amino acid transporter gene, and members of the yuaA-yubG operon which code for KtrA and KtrB K+ transporters. The record is from RNAcentral. Lineage: Bacteria; Bacillati; Actinomycetota; Actinomycetes; Kitasatosporales; Streptomycetaceae.
UCGCUCAGAGCGCCGAAGGCAGGAGCGGGGGACCCAAGGUAAGUGCCGGGCCCGUGAGUCGAGAACGCGAGAGGCCGACCGUACGUAGAGGUCGGCCGGACCGUGCAGACCGGCGGAACGGAACCGGCUGGGGGUGAAGACCGCGCGUCAGUGACGUGCGGCCGGGCAACUCACAGGCCCGAACCCGACAGCUCACCUCGUAGGCGUCGGUGAGGGGAUAG